GUGGGGAAUAUUGGGCAAUGGGCGCAAGCCUGACCCAGCAACGCCGCGUGAAGGAAGAAGGCUUUCGGGUUGUAAACUUCUUUUAAGGGGGAAGAGUAGAAGACGGUACCCCUAGAAUAAGCCACGGCUAACUACGUGCCAGCAGCCGCGGUAAUACGUAGGUGGCAAGCGUUGUCCGGAUUUACUGGGUGUAAAGGGCGUGUAGCCGGGUCUGCAAGUCAGAUGUGAAAUCCAUGGGCUUAACCCAUGAACUGCAUUUGAAACUGUGGAUCUUGAGUGCUGGAGGGGCAAUCGGAAUUCCUAGUGUAGCGGUGAAAUGCGUAGAUAUUAGGAGGAACACCAGUGGCGAAGGCGGAUUGCUGGACAGUAACUGACGGUGAGGCGCGAAAGUGUGGGGAGCAAACAGGAUUAGAAACCCGAGUAGUCC
This 427-nucleotide ribosomal RNA is filed under the name uncultured Oscillospiraceae bacterium. RNAcentral's name for it is "bacterial SSU rRNA". It matches the Rfam family "Bacterial small subunit ribosomal RNA", at positions 354 to 796 of the family's 1533-position model. Lineage: Bacteria; Bacillati; Bacillota; Clostridia; Eubacteriales; Oscillospiraceae. The record is from RNAcentral.